GAACCAGACGAAUCUGCAAACUCAUGUUUUAUCUGCAGAUGCACUUUGUCCUCUCAUCCAUUCAGACAGAUUUCUAUCUGUCCUGGUUUGUGACGGACCAAAAUCACAACUGUUUAUCUUAUACGGGCUGGGUUUGAUACAAAACCACAAAGAUGGCCGCAAGAGCGAGGUUGGUGUUUUGGAGAGUUUUAUUUUGUUAUGUCGAGUUUGACUGAGGUGGAUUUUCACGAUGAUCUACAAAUUAAAAUGGCUGUUUUUGUCUUUGAGGAGUGAUUUGCGUUCUAAGAUGUAAGUUUGUUCACAGUCAUAUUGAUGACGCAUCAUUCCAGUUCAUCUCUGAACCCUGAACUCUGUCUAUUCUUUUGCAGUUCUGCUUUGAUUGCUUAGUGAGUACUUUUUGGAUGCUUCAUAUGAAGUUGGUUAUGAGUGCAGUCAGACAAACAGCUCCAACUCAAUGGCAACUUAUUUCAAAGUUUAAAAUACUGAUUGUGUUUGUGUGACGUGUUUUCUGGAGGAUCACAUUGUCCUCUCCCUCCCUCUCUGGCAGGGCUUUUUAAAAGAUGAAGUGUAUUCAGAGCGAUUCUGUGACAUGCAUCAUCUCAUCAUAUAACAGUCUUCAAAACGGUCCCCAACAAUCACCCUUGGGUCUUUAUUCUGAUGACCAAAGUACGGUUAAAAAACGAAAAGGACAGAGUGGCCUGUGGAGCUGCAUGAUGUCUGAACGCCAGGGGAGAGUCGGCAGGAAAUGGCAGCUCAUUUGUCCUUUUCACUAUUUCUUUACAAGGACACUCACCCUGUAAUAAUCACAAAUAACUCUCCUCUAACAGGAGAAAUCACUGAUUAUAGGUCUGGAAACCACUUUCACCGACCUCCUGGCGCAGAGCUAAUCUCACGCUGCCACAGCUGCUUUUUGACUUUACACCGGGGACUCUGAAUGUGUUUAAGGAUAAAUGAGUUUGCACUGACCUCUGGGUAGUUUCUGUGCAUUUUCUGUUGUUUCUCUACUUCCUGUGAUACGUCUCUUAGUCAUCUAGAGGACCACAGCACUUCUGCAAGACUUUAAUUCCAAGAUUUCUCUUCUGUGUUUGUUUGCUUGUUGAUGAACUGGUCUUCUGACUGAAACCUUUAUUUUAACAUCCCUGAACAUUUUAAAGAGACUCGGAUCUUUGAAGCCUUGCAGCCUUGGAUGUUUGAGUGCUGGAGGUUUUGUGUUUUUGACUUCAGCACAGCUCUCAGCAGAGUGAAAUGAUUUUUUAGAUCCCUUCCUCAGUGCAGUGAGGUACCAAAUGCUGCAGUGUCUGAGAGAUGCAGUCAAGGUUUAGGCAAUGGAAACAGUGUAUAGUAGUCUAAGUAUCCAGGGCAACGGAUAAUUUACAGCAGUGAGAACUUCAGGACAGCCCUGCUCACAUUUCAAACUGUAGAAUUUGCUGAAAAACAGCAGAUCAAAGCGUCUGUAUGACUGCUGCUGCGUGUUUCUGCUUGUUUGUUGUUUAACUCCUCAAAGUUACUGAACUUCAAACGGAAACAAGUGCUGCACUACAAAUAUUAACACAUGAUCUCACAUAUAGGGAAGUAUAACUGCAGAGGGUUAGAAUAAUAAAUGCCGUCUAUAACUAA
This is a long non-coding RNA of Acanthopagrus latus (yellowfin seabream), 1617 nucleotides long. RefSeq lists it as uncharacterized. The transcript has 2 exons. Lineage: Eukaryota; Metazoa; Chordata; Actinopteri; Spariformes; Sparidae. The record is from RefSeq and is a predicted model, not a curated record.